RNAcentral lists this ribosomal RNA (566 nucleotides) under uncultured Bifidobacterium sp. RNAcentral describes it as "bacterial SSU rRNA". It matches the Rfam family "Bacterial small subunit ribosomal RNA", at positions 146 to 711 of the family's 1533-position model. Lineage: Bacteria; Bacillati; Actinomycetota; Actinomycetes; Bifidobacteriales; Bifidobacteriaceae. The record is from RNAcentral.
UCUCCUGGAAACGGGUGGUAAUGCCGGAUGUUCCACAUGAGCGCAUGCGAGUGUGGGAAAGGCUUUUUGCGGCAUGGGAUGGGGUCGCGUCCUAUCAGCUUGUUGGUGGGGUAACGGCCUACCAAGGCGUUGACGGGUAGCCGGCCUGAGAGGGCGACCGGCCACAUUGGGACUGAGAUACGGCCCAGACUCCUACGGGAGGCAGCAGUGGGGAAUAUUGCACAAUGGGCGCAAGCCUGAUGCAGCGACGCCGCGUGCGGGAUGGAGGCCUUCGGGUUGUAAACCGCUUUUGUUCAAGGGCAAGGCACGGUUUCGGCCGUGUUGAGUGGAUUGUUCGAAUAAGCACCGGCUAACUACGUGCCAGCAGCCGCGGUAAUACGUAGGGUGCAAGCGUUAUCCGGAUUUAUUGGGCGUAAAGGGCUCGUAGGCGGUUCGUCGCGUCCGGUGUGAAAGUCCAUCGCUUAACGGUGGAUCCGCGCCGGGUACGGGCGGGCUUGAGUGCGGUAGGGGAGACUGGAAAUUCCCGGUGUAACGGUGGAAAUGUGUAGAUAUCGGGAAGAACACCA